UCGGGAAUUUUGGGCAAUGGGCGAAAGCCUGACCCAGCAACGCCGCGUGAGGGAUGAAGUAUUUCGGUAUGUAAACCUCGAAAGAAUGGGAAGAAUAAAUGACGGUACCAUUUAUAAGCUCCGGCUAACUACGUGCCAGCAGCCGCGGUAAUACGUAGGGGGCAAGCGUUGUCCGGAUUUACUGGGUGUAAAGGGCGCGCAGGCGGGAUAAAAAGUCAGUGGUGAAAUCCUACAGCUUAACCGUAGAACUGCCUUUGAUACUUUUAUUCUUGAGUUCGGGAGAGAGAGACGGAAUUCCAGGUGUAGUGGUGAAAUACGUAGAUAUCUGGAAGAACACCAGUUACGAAGGCGGUCUCUUGGUCCGACACUGACGCUGAGGCGCGAAAGCGUGGGGAGCAAACA
Molecule: ribosomal RNA, 402 nt
Filed under: uncultured bacterium
Lineage: Bacteria
Description: bacterial SSU rRNA
Rfam family: Bacterial small subunit ribosomal RNA
Source: RNAcentral